AUGGAGUGCGCCGACGUCUUCAUCGCCGUGGGCCGCCGGUCAACGUCGCCCUCCACGUCCUCCUCGUGGCAGCCGGGGAGGCAAUGGCGCAAGGCCCUCAACGUCAUCCGGACGUGCCACAGGCUGGCGCGGCUCGGCAUUCUGUCCGCGGGCGUCCUCCUGCCACGGAGCACCGCCUCCUACGUCGCCAUCAAGAUCCACCACGACGGCAGUGACUCCGACGCCGACUCGUCCGGCAAUGCCACCAACGCCGCAGCAUUCUCUGUCACCGCUGAUGACGAGCUUUUCAAGGGCCUGGUCAAGGAGAAGCGCGAAGACUGUUUCCGCCGCCUCGGGGGCAGUGCUGCCAUUGCCGCCGCGUUGGCGUCCGACGCAGAGCGCGGCAUUCGCGGCGACGGCGACGACGUGCGGCGCCGCAGGGAGUCGUUCGGCGGGAACACGUACCCCAAGCCAAAGCCCAAGAGCUUCUUCAGCCACGUCUGGGACGCGCUCAAGGACGUCUUCCUCAUCGUGCUCCUCGUCUGCGCCGUCGUUUCCCUCGGCUUCGGCAUCAAGGAGCACGGCCUCAAGGACGGCUGGUACGACGGUGUAAGUAUCUUUCUUGCGGUGUUCCUCGUUGCUGCCGUCUCCGCCGUCAGCAACCACAGCCAGGCCAAGCGGUUCGACAAGCUGGCCAGCGAGUCCGACAACAUUGCCGUCACCGUCGUCCGCGCCGGCCGGAGGCAGGAGGUCUCCAUAUUCGAUAUCCUCGUCGGCGACGUGGUGAUACUCAAGAUCGGCGACUCGGUGCCGGCGGACGGGGUGUUCCUGGAGGGUCACGGCCUGCAGGUGGACGAGUCGAGCAUGACGGGCGAGCCCCACCCGAUCGAGAUAGAUGCCGAGAAGAGCCCCUUCCUCACCGGCGGCGUGAAGAUCGUCGACGGCUACGGCCGGAUGCUCGUCACCGCCGUCGGCACCGACACCUUGUGGGGCGAGAUGAUGAGCAGCAUAACCAAGGAGACGGCCGAGCCAACGCCGCUCCAGGAGCGCCUCGAGCGCCUCACCUCAAGCAUUGGCAAGAUCGGCGUCGCCGUGGCGGUGCUCGUGUUCACCGUGCUCACCGCGCGCCACUUCACCGGCAGCACCAAGGACGACCAGGGGAAGCCGCUGUUCAACAAGGGCCACGUCACCUUCGACGCCGUCUUCAGCUCCCUCGUCGUCAUCUUCCAGCAGGCCGUCACCAUCAUCGUCGUCGCCAUCCCCGAGGGCCUCCCGCUCGCCGUGACGCUCACGCUCGCCUUCUCCAUGAAGAGGAUGGUGAAGGAGAACGCGCUGGUGCGCCGCCUGUCGGCGUGCGAGACAAUGGGGUCCGUCACAGCCAUCUGCACCGACAAGACCGGAACGCUGACGCUCAACCAGAUGAAGGUGACCGAGUUUUGGGUCGGCACUGACCAGCCCAGAGGUGCCACGGCGAUCGCCGGGAGUGUCGUCAGCUUGCUCUGCCAGGGAGCUGGGCUCAACACAACAGGAAGCGUUUACAAGCCGGACAACGUGUCGCCGCCGGAGAUUACAGGCAGCCCGACGGAGAAGGCGCUGCUGUCGUGGGCCGUAGCGGACCUCGGCAUGGACGCCGACGCGCUGAAGAGGAGCUGCAAGGUGCUGCACGUUGAGGCAUUCAACUCGGACAAGAAGCGCAGCGGUGUGAUGAUCAAGGACAACGCUACGGGCGCGGUGGUCGCGCACUGGAAAGGUGCCGCGGAGAUGGUGCUGGCGAACUGCUCGAUGUACAUGGACACGGACGGAGCGGCGCGUGAGCUCGGAGCGGAGCAGAGGAGGAACCUUGAGAAGGUGAUCAACGACAUGGCAGUCGGCAGCCUCCGGUGCAUCGCCUUCGCCUACAAGCAAGUCGACAGCACUACUGAGCAAUCGAAGAUCGACGACGACGGUCUCACACUGCUGGGCUUCGUCGGGUUGAAGGACCCGUGCCGCCCAGAGGUCAAGGCGGCCAUUGAAGCUUCCACGAAGGCGGGCGUCGCCGUCAAGAUGGUCACCGGCGACAACAUCCUCACGGCCCGCGCGAUCGCCAAGGAGUGCGGCAUCAUAUCCAGCAACGACCCCAGCGGCAUCGUCAUCGAGGGGGACGAGUUCCGCGCCAUGUCGCCGGAGCAGCAGCUGGAGAUCGUGGACCGGAUCCGCGUCAUGGCGCGGUCCCUGCCGCUGGACAAGCUGGCGCUGGUGCAGCGGCUGAAGCAGAAGGGGCACGUGGUGGCCGUGACCGGCGACGGCACCAACGACGCGCCGGCGCUCAAGGAGGCGGACGUGGGGCUAUCCAUGGGCGUGCAGGGCACGGAGGUGGCCAAGGAGAGCUCCGACAUCAUCAUCCUCAACGACAACUUCGACACGGUGGUGACGGCCACGCGGUGGGGGCGCUGCGUCUACAACAACAUCCAGAAGUUCAUCCAGUUCCAGCUCACCGUCAACGUGGCGGCGCUCGUCAUCAACUUCGUGUCCGCGAUCACCACGGGCAAGAUGCCGCUCACCACCGUGCAGCUCCUGUGGGUGAACCUGAUCAUGGACACCAUGGGAGCCCUGGCGCUCGCCACGGACACGCCCACCAAGGCGCUCAUGGACCGGCCGCCCAUCGGCCGCACGGCGCCGCUCAUCAGCAACGCCAUGUGGCGCAACCUCGCCGCGCAGGCGGCGUUCCAGAUCGCCGUGCUGCUGGCGCUCCAGUACCGGGGGCGGGACGUCUUCGGCACCGACGAGAAGGGUAACGGCACCAUGAUCUUCAACGCCUUCGUGCUGUGCCAGGUGUUCAACGAGUUCAACGCGCGGGAGAUCGAGAAGAAGAACGUGUUCGCCGGGGUGCUCAAGAACAGGAUGUUCCUCGUCAUCAUCGCCGUCACGCUCGUGCUGCAGGUGGUCAUGGUGGAGGUGCUCACCAGGUUCGCCGGAACCAAGAGGCUGGGGCUGGGGCAGUGGGGCGUCUGCCUCGCCAUCGCCGCCGUGUCGUGGCCCAUCGGCUGGGCCGUCAAGUUCAUCCCCGUGCCCGACCGGACUCUCCAUGACAUCCUCACGCGCCGGAAAUCCUCAUGA
RNAcentral lists this ribosomal RNA (3075 nucleotides) under Triticum aestivum (bread wheat). Its description in RNAcentral is "partial small subunit ribosomal RNA". The record is from RNAcentral. Lineage: Eukaryota; Viridiplantae; Streptophyta; Magnoliopsida; Poales; Poaceae.